This 1090-nucleotide ribosomal RNA is filed under the name Cordyceps sp. RNAcentral describes it as "SSU rRNA". It matches the Rfam family "Eukaryotic small subunit ribosomal RNA", at positions 39 to 1142 of the family's 1831-position model. The record is from RNAcentral. Lineage: Eukaryota; Fungi; Ascomycota; Sordariomycetes; Hypocreales; Cordycipitaceae.
AAAGAUUAAGCCAUGCAUGUCUAAGUAUAAGCAAUUAUACAGCGAAACUGCGAAUGGCUCAUUAUAUAAGUUAUCGUUUAAUUGAUAGUACCUUACUACUUGGAUAACCGUGGUAAUUCUAGAGCUAAUACAUGCUAAAAUCCCGACUUCGGAAGGGAUGUAUUUAUUAGAUUAAAAACCAAUGCCCUCUGGGCUCCUUGGUGAUUCAUGAUAACUCUUCGAAUCGCACGGCCUUGCGCCGGCGAUGGUUCAUUCAAAUUUCUUCCCUAUCAACUUUCGAUGUUUGGGUAUUGGCCAAACAUGGUUGCAACGGGUAACGGAGGGUUAGGGCUCGACCCCGGAGAAGGAGCCUGAGAAACGGCUACUACAUCCAAGGAAGGCAGCAGGCGCGCAAAUUACCCAAUCCCGAUUCGGGGAGGUAGUGACAAUAAAUACUGAUACAGGGCUCUUUUGGGUCUUGUAAUUGGAAUGAGUACAAUUUAAAUCCCUUAACGAGGAACAAUUGGAGGGCAAGUCUGGUGCCAGCAGCCGCGGUAAUUCCAGCUCCAAUAGCGUAUAUUAAAGUUGUUGUGGUUAAAAAGCUCGUAGUUGAACCUUGGGCCUGGCUGGCCGGUCCGCCUCACCGCGUGCACUGGUCCGGCCGGGCCUUUCCCUCUGUGGAACCCCAUGCCCUUCACUGGGCGUGGCGGGGAAACAGGACGUUUACUUUGAAAAAAUUAGAGUGCUCCAGGCAGGCCUAUGCUCGAAUACAUUAGCAUGGAAUAAUGAAAUAGGACGCGUGGUUCUAUUUUGUUGGUUUCUAGGACCGCCGUAAUGAUUAAUAGGGACAGUCGGGGGCAUCAGUAUUCAAUUGUCAGAGGUGAAAUUCUUGGAUUUAUUGAAGACUAACUACUGCGAAAGCAUUUGCCAAGGAUGUUUUCAUUAAUCAGGAACGAAAGUUAGGGGAUCGAAGACGAUCAGAUACCGUCGUAGUCUUAACCAUAAACUAUGCCGACUAGGGAUCGGACGAUGUUAUUUUUUGACGCGUUCGGCACCUUACGAGAAAUCAAAGUGCUUGGGCUCCAGGGGGAGUAUGGUCGCAAGGCUGAAA